AUGGCGACACUUGGGCGAGCGAAGCAAGAUCCGGGCACACUGACAAGGCUUUGGCCCAGGAACAAGCCGCAGUCGGCAGCGAGCCGGUGGAGGCGAGUUAGAAGGUUUACCGGUGUCAGUGUGAUGGUUCAUCGAUGCUCGAACUGGAGGUCGGCGGGGCUUAGAGGGAAGGCCUUGGGCGACAAGCACGACAAUAGGUGGAGGUUGAGGGGGAGGGCGGGGCGGCGGAGACAGGACGCCAAGGCCAAGGCGCUGGUGGCCGCGAAGAUCCAGGAAGGGGAGUACAAGGUGCGGAUGAUAGGAGAGUACGCGGUGCGGACGGACCGCGCGAUCGAUGCGCUGGAGAAAAAGGUGCAGGACAUCGAGGCGGUGAUGGAUCUCGAGCUGAUGCUCGGCGAGUACUGCGCCGACCUCUCGGACAUGCACAAGGCGCGCCACUACUACCGCGCCACCUCGCUCUCGGAGGAGGAGAAGCUGUACCUCCACCAAAUCGACGACUUCGCCGCCGCCACCAUCGCCGAGUACGAGGCCAGCGUCGGCCCCGUCCCGGCCUUCGACAAGCACCUCAGCCUGUUCAGCCAAGAAAUCCCACUGGAGUUCCCCGAACCCUUGGCUCCCCCUCCCCCUUCUUCGGCUUCGGCUUCGGCUUCUCACCACGAGUGA
Molecule: ribosomal RNA, 663 nt
Filed under: Triticum aestivum (bread wheat)
Lineage: Eukaryota; Viridiplantae; Streptophyta; Magnoliopsida; Poales; Poaceae
Description: partial small subunit ribosomal RNA
Source: RNAcentral